RNAcentral lists this transfer RNA (120 nucleotides) under Aureobasidium subglaciale EXF-2481. It matches the Rfam family "tRNA". From Rfam's summary of the family: Transfer RNA (tRNA) molecules are approximately 80 nucleotides in length. The record is from Rfam by way of RNAcentral. Lineage: Eukaryota; Fungi; Ascomycota; Dothideomycetes; Dothideales; Saccotheciaceae.
GCAACAGUAGUCUAGUGGUUCAUGACACUCUACAAAUGUCAGUCCAAGAACGGCAUACCGAGUAAUAUGUCGAGCUGAACUGCAAUGGAGAAGACCUGAGUUCGACUCUCAGCUGUGCCA